GGGCUGUUAGCUCAGUUGGUAGAGCAGUUGACUCUUAAUCAAUAGGUCCAAGGUUCGAAUCCUUGACAGCCCACCA
RNAcentral lists this transfer RNA (76 nucleotides) under Pseudomonas aeruginosa. RNAcentral's name for it is "tRNA-Lys". It matches the Rfam family "tRNA". Rfam says of the family: Transfer RNA (tRNA) molecules are approximately 80 nucleotides in length. Their secondary structure includes four short double-helical elements and three loops (D, anti-codon, and T loops). Further hydrogen bonds mediate the characteristic L-shaped molecular structure. tRNAs have two regions of fundamental functional importance: the anti-codon, which is responsible for specific mRNA codon recognition, and the 3' end, to which the tRNAs corresponding amino acid is attached (by aminoacyl-tRNA synthetases). tRNAs cope with the degeneracy of the genetic code in two manners: having more than one tRNA (with a specific anti-codon) for a particular amino acid; and 'wobble' base-pairing, i.e. permitting non-standard base-pairing at the 3rd anti-codon position. The record is from RNAcentral. RNAcentral also lists the same sequence under 520 other names. Lineage: Bacteria; Pseudomonadati; Pseudomonadota; Gammaproteobacteria; Pseudomonadales; Pseudomonadaceae.